GAAGCUUCUGGGGGUGGACAGAGAGGGAGACAUCUUCAGCCUGUCUCAGCUGGUCAGCAUCUGAUCAUCCCUGGCCCUCCACUGAACCUCUCAACCUCAAGCUCUGCAAGAUGAGGCCUCCAGACAUCCACUGUAGAGACCUGCCUACAGGGGGCAGAAGCAGUGUGUGAGAAAGAUGCUCUGGAGCCAGCCCCAGCAUCAAGAAUGAGCAACCAAACUGUUUUUGACCUGGCCUGCAGUGAGGAGAUUAAGCAGAUUCUGGUGGGCAGUCAUGACAAGGUUAAAGCAUGGGACUAGUGCCUCUUCCUUUGGUCUCCAUCACUUUAAGGUGUCAUCCAAGAUGGAUCCAGAGGCAAAGAAAAAGAUGCUUGGAUGCCCUGGAGGAGCAUGUGGCCAACAGCAGCUGUCACUACCCAGGAGCAGACAGAU
Oncorhynchus keta (chum salmon) is the source of this 429-nucleotide long non-coding RNA. RefSeq lists it as uncharacterized. Lineage: Eukaryota; Metazoa; Chordata; Actinopteri; Salmoniformes; Salmonidae. The record is from RefSeq and is a predicted model, not a curated record. The transcript has 5 exons.